AAGUCGUAACAAGGUUUCCGUAGGUGAACCUGCGGAAGGAUCAUUUCCAAAAAAGCAUUGCCUUAUCAUAUACACCUUUUGGUGUGUGAACAGUUGGAUAGAAAAAUCAUUUUACUCUCGAAGCGGAUUAGCAUCUCGAAUGCUACUGUGGAGAGAGGCCUUGAUGAACCCACAUCCUUUUUGUUUAUAUUGCUCAGGCAAUAUCUACAAAAGGACGUUAACAUAAAGUCUACACUAUAUUUCUAAGUCAAAAAGACUUAUUGCUACAUCUCGUAUGUACAAUAUGUCAAUUUACUCUAGUAAAUAUACGACAACUUUUAACGGUGGAUCUCUUGGCUCGU
This 341-nucleotide unclassified non-coding RNA is filed under the name fungal sp. RNAcentral's name for it is "partial internal transcribed spacer region". The stretch from base 1 to 46 matches the Rfam family "Eukaryotic small subunit ribosomal RNA", at positions 1786 to 1831 of the family's 1831-position model. The record is from RNAcentral. Lineage: Eukaryota; Fungi.